RNAcentral lists this ribosomal RNA (250 nucleotides) under uncultured bacterium. RNAcentral describes it as "partial 16S ribosomal RNA". It matches the Rfam family "Bacterial small subunit ribosomal RNA", at positions 355 to 620 of the family's 1533-position model. The record is from RNAcentral.
UUGGGAAUCUUGCACAAUGGGGGAAACCCUGAUGCAGCGACGCCGCGUGGAGGAUGAAGGAUCUAGGUCUGUAAACUCCUUUUGCACGGAAAGACUUAGGACGGUACCGUGCGAAUAAGCUCCGGCUAACUACGUGCCAGCAGCCGCGGUAAGACGUAGGGAGCAAGCGUUGUCCGGAUUUACUGGGCGUAAAGGGCGCGUAGGCGGACUGUUAAGUGAGUACUGAAAUCUCCAGAGCUCAACUCGGAAA